AAUACAUCUUUUGAUAAAUGGGAAGAAGGAGAUCUUCAAAAAAGGGUUUCAGGUGUUGGAGAUGGCUUUGGAAAUGGCUGUGCGGAUGGAGAUGCAGAGAGAGGAAGUAUUUUUUGUCGCCCCAUCACAGAAUGACUCAGCAAAAUCAAACAGCUGUGGCACUAGAAGAUUUCUCUCAUCCUUACUUCAUAUUGCAGAAAGAAACUGGAAGAUAUUACCGUCCAAGUAUGGAAAAGACGUACGACACACAAGAUACCCUAAUAUGCAAGGAUCAGAUGGAGGAAGAGGAAUCGCUGUCCGGUAUUCCUCCUGAGCAUCAACUGCAUCAACCCUUUGAGGAUGAGGAUUCCAGGUAAGGGAAACUAUUUUUAAGAAAAGCUGACAGCAUUGGUCGCUGUAUCUCAAUACCACAGAGGAACAUGAGAACCAGGAGGAAUUUAGGUGAUUUUCAUUGGAAUCAGAGGAAAUUAUAUAUCCCAGGUUUAUAUUCAGUUUCAUCAACUUGAGUAUCUUAAUGAUGAAGGAUUUUUUUGUAGAUCAAUUAUACUCGAUAAAGCUGUUCAAAAGAAUUUGAUAUAAAACCCAUACUAGGAAAAAUAAAGGAAGAUUAAGAUGUAAUCAUCUCAUUGACACAGAAUAAAAACACUGGACUAAAUCCAUUUUGUAAUUAAAAUUUUAAAAAUUGCUAGGAAUUGAAUAGAACAUCCACAACCUAAUAAAUAAUAUGUACAGAAAACCUGCAGGAAACAUCAUACUCAGUGGGAAGCAAGACUAUCUUCCCAUAAGAAUGGGAACAAGACACACAGGUUCAUUUUUUUUUUCCUUUCUAUUAAACACUGUCCUGAAGAACUUUGCUACAGAAAACAAUCAUGCAAGAAAAAAAGAAAGAAAAGGACCCAAGGUCACAAAGAAGAGAAAUAAUUGUCUUUAAAAGUCCAAGACAUCAUCCCACAUUAAAAAAAAAAAAAAAAAACCCUGAGCAAUUUCCUAAAAACCCAUUCAAAGUAAGGAAGAAAUUUAGCAGUGUUGUAGACUAUCAAAUCAAAAUGCACAUAUUAAUUGGAUUUCUGUACACUAGUUACGGACAUUCUGAAAAUAUAAUUGAGGAAACAAUGCAAUCAAAAUUAAACCAAAAAGAAGGAAAACAUAGGAACGAAAAAUAUUUUAAAGUCCUCUGAUUUUAAGCUGAAGAAAACAAACUAUGAUAAAAAGGUAAAAACACAAUUUUGAAAAUGAUAUAGUAAAUAGACAUUUUGUCAUUGCCAAAAGUAUACACGAAUGGUGAAUACGCGUUUAAAAAUGUUUCACGUAAGUCAUUGGAGAUAAUAAGCUUAUGUUCAUUCAUUAUGAAUGUGUAUAAUGAAUGAACAUAAUCAAUGAGCUUAUGAUUAUUCAUGGAAUAAUAUUCAUUAUAAGUGAAGAUUAUUCAUUAGAAUGAAUGAGCAUUAUUGCCACACAAUUCCAGAAAUUUUUGAAUCAAACCUUAAGCAAUGGCAUUUUCUUCCAUGGAGGUGUCUAGAGAAACCUAUACACAAAAAGGCAGGGGACAAUGCCAUCAAAGACCAGUGCGUUAUUUUGGUUGGGCUGUUACUCAAUGCCUAACACCAACCUAAUUCUCUAGGAACUGGCUAAUGAUGAGGCCGAAGGCUGCAGUGGGGACCUGAGGUUUAACGCCCGGGAGGUGAGGACGCCUCUAUUUGUAGCAUAUGCCAGUUUCCAAGGGGUGCAUAUCUCCAUCAUGGCAGAUUUCAAACUACCAACCUGAAGUCCCUGACGAGGGCGUUGGAAGGACACCUGCAGCAGUCCGUCAGCACAUUUUCACCACACAGAUACGAUAGACAUAAAUAACCUCAAGGGCAUAGACUGCCGGAAAGGGCAGAAAAAUGUAGUGUAGAACAUACUAGAAAUUGGUACGUUUUAAGGAUGUAUUCCUGUUAUUAAUAUGAUUUACUUAAAUGUUAGUUUGUAUCGUUUAAUUUAGACUAAGGGUGUGUUACCAACCUGCUUGCAAGAUCCCUGACAAUGGGACCCUUGGUGCUCCUGAUCUGGGAUCGGCAGUUCAGCGCUGGCUCCUCCCACCUUCUAAACCGUUCUCAGCAGGCAGACUGCAGCAUGCACAUGCACCAGGAGGGCGAACAUACAAUAUACCGUUGCUGCUUUGCAUGUGGCCAUCCGAAUCCAUGGUGACAUGUGCAGCUGCAGACGGCAACCAGUCUUAGGGUGUCAGACCAAGGGUCUCUCUCCACGCUUGGCUUGCCCACAGAACCCUUCUGAGAAAAGCGCUAUAGAGCCUUUCUCUUCAUCCCGCUUCUCCAGGUACCUGUUCUUUUUAAACCUAAUCCACGUGUGGAUUUCUCCGCUGGUCUCUUUCACGUUGAAAUAAACAGACAUAACAAGGAAUAGAUCGAAGCACCAGGGAACCUAAGGAAAUGUCAGCAGAAAAGCCAACCAUGUUUCAUGAUUUCACAGCAGCAUCUGUUAAUGCCUUAACUGUUAUUGCCACAGAAAUAAACAUUGUUUUUAUUUGCGAUUUCAUCAUCUACCCUCUUACGGACUGGGAGUCUCGCCCUCUGACUCCCCUAAGUCUUGAUUUUUUUCCACAUUCAAACACCCCAAAGCAGAGAAUUUGAUGGAGUUUUGGUGACUUCCUCCAAGGUAUCACCUGUGUUAGGGCAGAUUUCUCUCCCCAGGGGCCUGACGAACCAUCGGCUCACCCCGUAGACCAUGGAGUCCAUGUUGGCUGAUGUUGGAAUCACCUGUGAGGCUUUGAAAGCACGGAUGCUUGGGUCCUACCUCCAGACUUCUGAUUCAACUGGUGUGGGCUGUGACCUGCGUAUUGGGUGGAUUUUAAAGCUUCCCAGGUGUGGCCAAGGUUGGAAUUACCUUAGAAUAUAAAUGCACGCAUUUCACGCGCCGGUCAAUUACUGCUUCAAUCUUUGAUUCCAACAUCAUAUGAUACCAAUUGGAGCAAUUUAAGCCAGAGAAGCUGGCUGAGUCCACGUUGAACACCGGCAUAAAAUAAAGAGAGAGAGAUAUCAAGACACAUUUGGCUCUAGGGAGAACAUUAGCUCUACUAUUCAUAAAUCUGGAU
Molecule: long non-coding RNA, 3091 nt
Filed under: Saimiri boliviensis boliviensis (Bolivian squirrel monkey)
Lineage: Eukaryota; Metazoa; Chordata; Mammalia; Primates; Cebidae
Description: lncRNA (ENSSBOG00000036710.1)
Source: RNAcentral